UACGUAAGUGGCGAGCGUUAUCCGGAAUUACUGGGCGUAAAGCGUGCGCAGGCGGUGAUGUAAGACAGAUGUGAAAUCCCCGGGCUCAACCUGGGAACUGCAUUUGUGACUGCAUCGCUGGAGUGCGGCAGAGGGGGAUGGAAUUCCGCGUGUAGCAGUGAAAUGCGUAGAUAUGCGGAGGAACACCGAUGGCGAAGGCAAUCCCCUGGGCCUGCACUGACGCUCAUGCACGAAAGCGUGGGGAGCAAACAGG
This 253-nucleotide ribosomal RNA is filed under the name uncultured bacterium. Its description in RNAcentral is "partial 16S ribosomal RNA". It matches the Rfam family "Bacterial small subunit ribosomal RNA", at positions 524 to 776 of the family's 1533-position model. The record is from RNAcentral.